AGAGUUUAUCUUGGUUUAGGACGAACGCUGGCGGCGUGCCUAAUACAUGCAAGUCGAACGCAUUUUCUUUCACCGUAGCUUGCUACACCGAAAGAAAAUGAGUGGCGAACGGGUGAGUAACACGUGGGUAACCUGCCCAUCAGCGGGGGAUAACACUUGGAAACAGGUGCUAAUACCGCAUAAUUCCAUUUACCGCAUGGUAGAUGGAUGAAAGGCGCUUUUGCGUCACUGAUGGAUGGACCCGCGGUGCAUUAGCUAGUUGGUGGGGUAACGGCCUACCAAGGCUGCGAUGCAUAGCCGACCUGAGAGGGUGAUCGGCCACACUGGGACUGAGACACGGCCCAGACUCCUACGGGAGGCAGCAGUAGGGAAUCUUCGGCAAUGGACGCAAGUCUGACCGAGCAACGCCGCGUGAGUGAAGAAGGUUUUCGGAUCGUAAAACUCUGUUGUUAGAGAAGAACAAGGAUGAGAGUGGAAAGUUCAUCCCUUGACGGUAUCUAACCAGAAAGCCACGGCUAUACUACGUGCCAAGCAGCCGCGGUAAUACGUCAUGCAUUCUAUCGUACCCC
Molecule: ribosomal RNA, 569 nt
Filed under: Enterococcus cecorum
Lineage: Bacteria; Bacillati; Bacillota; Bacilli; Lactobacillales; Enterococcaceae
Description: bacterial SSU rRNA
Rfam family: Bacterial small subunit ribosomal RNA
Source: RNAcentral